RNAcentral lists this transfer RNA (69 nucleotides) under Urocitellus parryii (Arctic ground squirrel). RNAcentral describes it as "Spermophilus parryii (Arctic ground squirrel) tRNA". It matches the Rfam family "tRNA". From Rfam's summary of the family: Transfer RNA (tRNA) molecules are approximately 80 nucleotides in length. Their secondary structure includes four short double-helical elements and three loops (D, anti-codon, and T loops). RNAcentral also lists the same sequence under 1 other name. The record is from Rfam by way of RNAcentral. Lineage: Eukaryota; Metazoa; Chordata; Mammalia; Rodentia; Sciuridae.
GGGGUUGUAGCUCAGUAGUGGAGCGCUUGCCUUGUAUGCGUGAAGCACUGGGUUCGAUCCUCAGCACCA